Small nucleolar RNA from Lycium barbarum (goji berry), 128 nucleotides. RefSeq annotates it as small nucleolar RNA snoR74. The record is from RefSeq and is a predicted model, not a curated record. Lineage: Eukaryota; Viridiplantae; Streptophyta; Magnoliopsida; Solanales; Solanaceae. The transcript has a single exon.
GAAGAAGACAUAAUCUGCACAAUAGAUUUCUAACUUAAUUGCAACUUCAGGGACAAAAAAUUGCGUUGUUAUUGGUGAACCACUUGACUUGCUUAUGAUGGAAUUGUUCAGUAAACAAUGAUACAUUU